Molecule: long non-coding RNA, 513 nt
Organism: Mytilus trossulus (common blue mussel)
Lineage: Eukaryota; Metazoa; Mollusca; Bivalvia; Mytilida; Mytilidae
Exons: 3
Source: RefSeq, a predicted model, not a curated record
UUCAUAUUGUUGGCGAAAAUCCUUUGAUGCAACAAUUCGGAUGGCAAACAAAUAUCGACUAACACCAAAAUGCUGGGGAAGUUAGAUAUACAUGUUGAUACUCACAAGGAAGCUAUUCAAACCAAUGGUUUUGAAGGGCAAAGCUGAAAUAUCCAAUCCGUAAAUGCACGGACGCUAUAUGUGGAGAAGAAUCUGCUUAACCUCCCGGAGAACCUGAGAACAUCCCCAGUUUUUGGGUGGGGUAUUUUUUGGACACGGUCGUUUGCUGAAGGAUAAGAAGUUACACAGAAUGAUAGAAAAGCGAAGUCCAUUUGGUCAAAGCAUUUUUCUCCAAUGAAACAUUUUAGUUUAACAGCUGGUUGGAUAAACACAAGUUGUCUUAAACUAGACUGAUAUGUACAAAUGUAUUCACUAUUAUAUGGUCCUACAAAAGUAUAUGCAUGAUGAGUAUGUUUUUUUAUUUGAAAUUUUAUCUGAAUAGGUAAAAAUAUCUCCUAAACAUUUCUUGAAAUG